RNAcentral lists this ribosomal RNA (444 nucleotides) under uncultured bacterium. RNAcentral's name for it is "bacterial SSU rRNA". It matches the Rfam family "Bacterial small subunit ribosomal RNA", at positions 32 to 486 of the family's 1533-position model. The record is from RNAcentral.
AAUCAACGCUGGCGGCGUGCCUCAGACAUGCAAGUCGAACGAUUAAAGCUCUCUUCGGAGAGUGUAUAGAGUGGCGCACGGGUGAGUAACACGUAAGUAAUCUACCCUCGAGUGGGGAAUAACAACCGGAAACGGUUGCUAAUACCGCAUAAUGCAGCGGCACCGCAAGGUGACAGUUGUUAAAGAUUUAUCGCUUGAGGAGGAGCUUGCGGCAGAUUAGCUAGUUGGUAGGGUAACGGCUUACCAAGGCUACGAUCUGUAACCGGUCUAAGAGGACGGUCGGUCACACUGACACUGAAUAACGGGUCAGACUCCUACGGGAGGCAGCAGUCGGGAAUUUGGGCAAUGGGCGAAAGCCUGACCCAGCAACGCCGCGUGAAGGAUGAAGUAUUUCGGAUGUAAACUUCGAAAGAAUAGGAAGAAUUAAUGACGGUACUAUUAUAA